RNAcentral lists this ribosomal RNA (433 nucleotides) under uncultured bacterium. RNAcentral describes it as "partial 16S ribosomal RNA". It matches the Rfam family "Bacterial small subunit ribosomal RNA", at positions 29 to 507 of the family's 1533-position model. The record is from RNAcentral.
AACGAACGCUGGCGGCAUGCCUAACACAUGCAAGUCGAACGAGACCUCCGGGCCUAGUGGCGCACGGGUGCGUAACGCGUGGGAAACUGCGCGUAGGAUCGGAAUAACUCACCGAAAGAGGUGCUAAUAACGGAUAAUGUCAUCGGACCAAAGGUUUAUCGCGUUUGGAUGGGCCCGCGUUGGAUUAGCUAGUUGGUAGGGUAAACGCCUACCAAGGCGACGAUCCAUAGCUGGUCUGAGAGGAUGAUCAGCCACACUGGGAGUGAGACACGGCCCAGACUCCUACGCGAAGCAGCAGUGGGGAAUAUUGGACAACGGGCGAAAGCCUGAUCCAGCACUGCCUCGUGAGUGAUGAAGGCCUUAGGGUUGUAUAGCUCUUUUACCCGGGAUGAUAAUGACAGUACCGGGAGAAGAAGCCCCGGCUAACUACGUG